Molecule: ribosomal RNA, 604 nt
Filed under: uncultured Bacteroidota bacterium
Lineage: Bacteria; Pseudomonadati; Bacteroidota
Description: SSU rRNA
Rfam family: Bacterial small subunit ribosomal RNA
Source: RNAcentral
CAGUUAGUUGGCGGGGUAAUGGCCCACCAAGACGAUGAUCAGUAGGGGAACUGAGAGGUUGAUCCCCCACACUGGCACUGAGAUACGGGCCAGACUCCUACGGGAGGCAGCAGUAGGGAAUAUUGGUCAAUGGAUGGAAGUCUGAACCAGCCAUGCCGCGUGCAGGAAGAAGGCCUUCUGGGUUGUAAACUGCUUUUGUCAGGGGAUAAAAUUUCCUUGCGAGGAAAAUUGAAGGUACCUGGCGAAUAAGCCACGGCUAACUACGUGCCAGCAGCCGCGGUAAUACGUAGGUGGCAAGCGUUGUCCGGAUUUAUUGGGUUUAAAGGGUGCGUAGGCGGCUUUGUAAGUCAGUGGUGAAAUAUCGCAGCUUAACUGUGAGGGUGCCAUUGAUACUGCAGAGCUUGAGUACAGAUGAGGUAGGCGGAAUUGACGGUGUAGCGGUGAAAUGCUUAGAUAUCGUCAAGAACACCUAUAGCGAAGGCAGCUUACUAGGCUGUAACUGACGCUGAGGCACGAAAGUGUGGGGAUCAAACAGGAUUAGAUACCCUGGUAGUCCACACUGUAAACGUUGAAGACUCGCUGUGUGCGAUAUACAGUACGCGGC